RNAcentral lists this long non-coding RNA (842 nucleotides) under Ananas comosus (pineapple). RNAcentral's name for it is "long non-coding RNA (ACOM_LNC029294)". Lineage: Eukaryota; Viridiplantae; Streptophyta; Magnoliopsida; Poales; Bromeliaceae. The record is from RNAcentral.
CACGACAAAAUCCAAACUUUCUUUCCAAUAGAAGGAAUAACACAUAAAUACAUAUAAAACAUGUAUUUUCGGAUUUUCUCGAAAUUCGUGCAUCAAACUCAAAAUCCGUCAGCGCCAGAAGUUCCAGAAUAGCUGAACCGGUCGAAACGAGCUAUUGGACUGAUAUGAACGGAGUCCGAUACGCACCAGAGCCAACUCUACUCCGUGGCUUCUCCGGAAAACCGGAGUUACUAUUCACUUAAGUGAAAACUAAAAAUCGCGUAUCUUCUCCAUUUUAGCUCAGUUUCUCCUGUAACUUGACGAGUGCUUAUGUAAUUAGAUUACACAUAUAAACAUCAUCAACCGAGAGUUUAGUUGCACAGUCAAAAAUCUCAGUCCUUACAAGAGAACACAGGUUAGAGAGAGAGCAUAAUUAAAGAAAUAGAAAGAGAAAUAGAGUCGAGAUUAUAGGGAGUGGGAGAGUUGAGAUUAUAGAAAAAGAGGGGGAGAGAGAGCUUAGUUUAGAGAGAGAAAAAAAAUAAAAGUUUAGAGACAAAAAGAUAAGUUUAGAGAGAGAUUCGAGAUUAGAGUGUAAAGAAAAAUAAUACCAACUAGCCGGCGGGUAGGAAGAAAGAAAGAGAUUGGACAUAUUAUGAUUACCCUAAUCCAUUAAUAUGAAAAUAUCCAUCCUCCCUCAAGGGAAUGAGAUUGUACUUUGGGAUGAAUCUCUUUCCCAAGUAAAUCCAAUAUUACCAACUAGAUUACUUAGUGCGUUUAGUCAAACACCGUCAUAUUUUUUUUAUUUCUAUUGGAUUAUUAGAAAUUUUAAAAAGAUAGCGCGAACCAAACGCACCCUAAUAAGA